Molecule: ribosomal RNA, 433 nt
Filed under: uncultured bacterium
Lineage: Bacteria
Description: partial 16S ribosomal RNA
Rfam family: Bacterial small subunit ribosomal RNA
Source: RNAcentral
AACGAACGCUGGCGGCAUGCCUAACACAUGCAAGUCGAACGAGACCUUCGGGUCUAGUGGCGCCCGGGUGCGUAACGCGUGGGAACCUGCCCUUAGGUUCGGAAUAACUCCCCGAAAGGGGUGCUAAUACCGGAUAAUGUCUUCGGACCAAAGAUUUAUCGCCUUUGGAUGGGCCCGCGUUGGAUUCGCUAGUUGGUAGGGUAAAAGCCUACCAAGGCGACGAUCCAUAGCUGGUCUGAGAGGAUGAUCAGCCACACUGGGACUGAGACACGGCCCAGACUCCUACGGGAGGCAGCAGUGGGGAAUAGUGGACAAGGGGCGGAAGCCUGAUCCAGCAAGGCCGCGUGAGUGAUGAAGGCCGUAGGGUUGUAAAGCUCUUUUACCCGGGAUGAUAAUGACAGUACCGGGAGAAUAAGCGCCGGCUAACUCCGUG